Molecule: small RNA, 290 nt
Filed under: Corynebacterium sp. KPL1989
Lineage: Bacteria; Bacillati; Actinomycetota; Actinomycetes; Mycobacteriales; Corynebacteriaceae
Description: 5' ureB small RNA
Rfam family: 5' ureB small RNA
Source: Rfam by way of RNAcentral
CUGCUUCUACCUGCUCUGGUGAGAUGAAGUGCACGUGGGUGUCAAUAGCACCAGCGGUAAUGAUCUUUCCUUCACCGCCAAUAACUUCGGUGCCCACACCGAUCAUGACGUCGACAUCAUCCAUGAUGUCUGGGUUACCGGCGUUGCCGAUCUUCAUGAUCUUGCCGUCUUUUAUCGCGAUAUCAGCGGUGAAGAUGCCUGUGUGGUCAAUGACCGUUCCGUUGGUAAUGACGAGGUCCGGAACCAUAUCGUUACCGCGCAUGCGCGAGUUCUGCCCCAUACCAUCGCGA